GUUUUGUUCACGUGAGAUAAUAUCCUCCUGGGAAAAAAUCUUGAUGGAAAGCCAAGGCCCCCCUGCUGGCUGCAAGAAACCGGAAUUCGGCCUUUUCGGCGCGCACCCGGACACGGCGCUGGGAUGAAGGCGCCCAGUUCAUGCCCAGCCAGGGCCUGCAGGGACAACGGGAUGGUCACAGGACGGCUGCCUCAGCUCCAAACAGCAACAUCUGAAGGAGAAAGCUGCAGGCCCGGACUGGAUGGCUUUGGCUAAGGAACCAACGCAGGUGGAGAAGGAGGCUGACGAUGGAGCCCAGGCACUCCAGCCUUGAAGGAGGAGAACCUGACCCUGAGCCUGCAUGGCAGCCGUGCGGGGGGACUUCGGGGGGUUUCCCCUUUGCUUCCAUCCAAAGAAAGUGCCCCACGUUUGAAAGCCUCUGUGCUGAAUGCUCCCAAUGCCCUCCGAUUCCAUCUAGGUCGUCCCUACCACCAAGGCAGGUGUGUGAAUUCACCCGCACAGCUCACCGUCCUGGGAGGGUGACGCUGGAGGAGGGACGUCCCUACCAUCAAGGCAGGUGUGUGAAUUCACCCGCACAGUUCACCGUCCUGGGAGGGUGACGCUGGAGGAGGGACGUCCCUACCAUCAAGGCAGGUGUGUGAAUUCACCCGCACAGUUCACCGUCCUGGGAGGGUGACGCUGGAGGAGGGACAUCCCUACCAUCAAGGCAGGUGUGUGAAUUCACUCGCACAGUUCACCGUCCUGGGAGGGUGACGCUGGAGUAGGGAUGUCCCUCCGGGGUCUCUUCAGCAUCUGCCCUUCUCCACCACAUAAGUUCGUC
Molecule: long non-coding RNA, 820 nt
Filed under: Homo sapiens (human)
Lineage: Eukaryota; Metazoa; Chordata; Mammalia; Primates; Hominidae
Description: non-protein coding lnc-TUBGCP3-6:1
Source: RNAcentral